Molecule: ribosomal RNA, 1481 nt
Filed under: Cylindrospermopsis sp. CHAB3423
Lineage: Bacteria; Bacillati; Cyanobacteriota; Cyanophyceae; Nostocales; Aphanizomenonaceae
Description: bacterial SSU rRNA
Rfam family: Bacterial small subunit ribosomal RNA
Source: RNAcentral
AGAGUUUGAUCCUGGCUCAGGAUGAACGCUGGCGGUACGCUUAGCACAUGCAAGUCGAACGGGAUGCUUAGGCAUCUAGUGGCGGACGGGUGAGUAACGCGUGAGAAUCUGGCUCCAGGUCGGGGAUAACAGUUGGAAACGACUGCUAAUACCGGAUGUGCCGAAAGGUGAAAGAUUUAUUGCCUGGAGAUGAGCUCGCGUCUGAUUAGCUAGUUGGUGGUGUAAGGGACCACCAAGGCGUCGAUCAGUAGCUGGUCUGAGAGGAUGAUCAGCCACACUGGGACUGAGACACGGCCCAGACUCCUACGGGAGGCAGCAGUGGGGAAUUUUCCGCAAUGGGCGAAAGCCUGACGGAGCAAUACCGCGUGAGGGAGGAAGGCUCUUGGGUCGUAAACCUCUUUUCUCAAGGAAGAAGAAAGUGACGGUACUUGAGGAAUAAGCAUCGGCUAACUCCGUGCCAGCAGCCGCGGUAAUACGGAGGAUGCAAGCGUUAUCCGGAAUGAUUGGGCGUAAAGGGUCUGCAGGUGGAACUGAAAGUCUGCUGUUAAAGAGUUUGGCUUAACCAAAUAAAAGCGGUGGAAACUACAGAACUAGAGUGCGGUAGGGGCAAAAGGAAUUCCUGGUGUAGCGGUGAAAUGCGUAGAUAUCAGGAAGAACACCGGUGGCGAAAGCGUUUUGCUAGACCGUAACUGACACUGAGGGACGAAAGCUAGGGGAGCGAAUGGGAUUAGAUACCCCAGUAGUCCUAGCCGUAAACGAUGGAUACUAGGCGUGGCUUGUAUCGACCCGAGCCGUGCCGGAGCUAACGCGUUAAGUAUCCCGCCUGGGGAGUACGCACGCAAGUGUGAAACUCAAAGGAAUUGACGGGGGCCCGCACAAGCGGUGGAGUAUGUGGUUUAAUUCGAUGCAACACGAAGAACCUUACCAAGACUUGACAUCCUGCGAAUCCUGGUGAAAGCUGGGAGUGCCUUAGGGAGCGCAGAGACAGGUGGUGCAUGGCUGUCGUCAGCUCGUGUCGUGAGAUGUUGGGUUAAGUCCCGCAACGAGCGCAACCCUCGCUUUUAGUUGCCAGCAUUAAGUUGGGCACUCUAGAGAGACUGCCGGUGACAAACCGGAGGAAGGUGAGGAUGACGUCAAGUCAGCAUGCCCCUUACGUCUUGGGCUACACACGUACUACAAUGCUACGGACAGAGGGCAGCAAGCCAGGGAUGGCAAGCGAAUCCAGAAACCGUAGCUCAGUUCAGAUCGAAGGCUGCAACUCGCCUUCGUGAAGGAGGAAUCGCUAGUAAUUGCAGGUCAGCAUACUGCAGUGAAUUCGUUCCCGGGCCUUGUACACACCGCCCGUCACACCAUGGAAGUUGGUCACGCCCGAAGUCAUUACCCCAACCGAAAGGAGGGGGAUGCCUAAGGUAGGACUGGUGACUGGGGUGAAGUCGCAACAAGGUAGCCGUACCGGAAGGUGUGGCUGGAUCACCUCCUUU